Molecule: ribosomal RNA, 336 nt
Filed under: Diversispora sp.
Lineage: Eukaryota; Fungi; Glomeromycota; Glomeromycetes; Diversisporales; Diversisporaceae
Description: bacterial SSU rRNA
Rfam family: Eukaryotic small subunit ribosomal RNA
Source: RNAcentral
UUGGAGGGCAAGUCUGGUGCCAGCAGCCGCGGUAAUUCCAGCUCCAAUAGCGUAUAUUAAAGUUGUUGCAGUUAAAAAGCUCGUAGUUGAAUUUCGGGAUUCGUCCAUUGGUCAGGCUUAACUGUCUGUACUGAUGUGUCGGAUUUCUACCUUCUGAAGAACCUUCAUGCCAUUAAUUUGGUGUGUUGGGGAAUCAGGACUGUUACUUUGAAAAAAUUAGAGUGUUUAAAGCAGGCUAACGUCUGAAUACAUUAGCAUGGAAUAAUGAAAUAGGACGGUACGGUUCUAUUUUGUUGGUUUCUAGGAUCGCCGUAAUGAUUAAUAGGGAUAGUUGGG